This 346-nucleotide transfer-messenger RNA is filed under the name bovine gut metagenome. It matches the Rfam family "transfer-messenger RNA". From Rfam's summary of the family: Bacterial tmRNA, also known as 10Sa RNA or SsrA, is named for its dual tRNA and mRNA-like properties. Its role is to liberate the mRNA from a stalled ribosome. The record is from RNAcentral.
GGGGAUGUAAAGGCUUCGACGGGGAUUUUGAAGUAUCGGAAGCGAGCAGCGGUGCGGAACCGCUAUAAAAUCCGUAAUCAAAAUUAAGUAACAACAAUAAAGUUGCUUUAGCUGCCUGAUUUGGCGGCUCAUCCGACCGGAUAUUACCACGGAUCCGUUAGGGUGUCAUUUUAGUGGUGAACGUGAACGGCGGCACGCUCCUGCCACCGUCAUGACUCGGGAGCUUUCCGGGUUGAAAGUUUGACGCCUGACGUUCAGCCUCGGUAAAAUAAUGAAGCGUCUGCGCUCGGAGACGCCGGUAUGAAUAGAUUUUCGGACGCGGGUUCAAUUCCCGCCAUCUCCACCA